Molecule: ribosomal RNA, 390 nt
Filed under: uncultured bacterium
Lineage: Bacteria
Description: bacterial SSU rRNA
Rfam family: Bacterial small subunit ribosomal RNA
Source: RNAcentral
GACGAACGCUGGCGGCGUGCCUAACACAUGCAAGUCGAGCGAGUGGAUCUCCUUCGGGAGUGAAGCUAGCGGCGGACGGGUGAGUAACACGUGGGCAACCUGCCUCAUAGAGGGGAAUAGCCUUUCGAAAGGAAGAUUAAUACCGCAUAAGAUUGUAGCUUCGCAUGAAGUAGCAAUUAAAGGAGCAAUCCGCUAUGAGAUGGGCCCGCGGCGCAUUAGCUAGUUGGUGAGGUAACGGCUCACCAAGGCGACGAUGCGUAGCCGACCUGAGAGGGUGAUCGGCCACAUUGGGACUGAGACACGGCCCAGACUCCUACGGGAGGCAGCAGUGGGGAAUAUUGCACAAUGGGGGAAACCCUGAUGCAGCAACGCCGCGUGAGUGAUGACGGC